GUAAAUAUAGUUUAAUAAAAACAUUAGAUUGUGAAUCUAAUAAUAGAAGAUUACAUCUCCUUAUUUACU
Molecule: transfer RNA, 69 nt
Filed under: Oryctolagus cuniculus (rabbit)
Lineage: Eukaryota; Metazoa; Chordata; Mammalia; Lagomorpha; Leporidae
Rfam family: tRNA
About the family: Transfer RNA (tRNA) molecules are approximately 80 nucleotides in length. Their secondary structure includes four short double-helical elements and three loops (D, anti-codon, and T loops). Further hydrogen bonds mediate the characteristic L-shaped molecular structure. tRNAs have two regions of fundamental functional importance: the anti-codon, which is responsible for specific mRNA codon recognition, and the 3' end, to which the tRNAs corresponding amino acid is attached (by aminoacyl-tRNA synthetases). tRNAs cope with the degeneracy of the genetic code in two manners: having more than one tRNA (with a specific anti-codon) for a particular amino acid; and 'wobble' base-pairing, i.e. permitting non-standard base-pairing at the 3rd anti-codon position.
Source: Rfam by way of RNAcentral